RNAcentral lists this transfer RNA (67 nucleotides) under Camelus bactrianus (Bactrian camel). It matches the Rfam family "tRNA". Rfam says of the family: Transfer RNA (tRNA) molecules are approximately 80 nucleotides in length. Their secondary structure includes four short double-helical elements and three loops (D, anti-codon, and T loops). RNAcentral also lists the same sequence under 2 other names. Lineage: Eukaryota; Metazoa; Chordata; Mammalia; Artiodactyla; Camelidae. The record is from Rfam by way of RNAcentral.
GGUAAUAGCUCAGUGGUAGAGCAUGUGGUUAGCAUGCAUGAAGUCCUGGAUUCGAUCCCCAGUACCG